RNAcentral lists this long non-coding RNA (216 nucleotides) under Lathyrus oleraceus (garden pea). RNAcentral's name for it is "Pisum sativum (pea) long non-coding RNA (PSAT_LNC040948)". The record is from RNAcentral. Lineage: Eukaryota; Viridiplantae; Streptophyta; Magnoliopsida; Fabales; Fabaceae.
UCUGAACUCAGAUUCUUCACCAUUAUCCCUAAUCGUCCGGAUCGGGGACGUCUAACUAAAACCCUAAGACCAAAAUCGAAUCAACAAUAGUGAAGGUCUCCCCCAAUUAAACAUGGAUUCCUCUCAAGUCUGCAAGGUGAGUACAAAGGUGAAGCGGAGGAAAGAAAAGAAGAGAUAAAGGAGAGAGGAGUAUACUACCUCAGAAUUAGUCUGAAG